This is a long non-coding RNA of Megalobrama amblycephala (Wuchang bream), 633 nucleotides long. RefSeq lists it as uncharacterized. The transcript is spliced from 4 exons. Lineage: Eukaryota; Metazoa; Chordata; Actinopteri; Cypriniformes; Xenocyprididae. The record is from RefSeq and is a predicted model, not a curated record.
UUAUGUUCUUCGCGCCAAUAUCCGGAUUCCAACUAAUGUUAGCAGCGACCUUUUUAUGUUAUUACAAAAAUGGCUAAACCACCACCAUCUAUGACAUUUAAGAAAGAAACACGUCUAAAAGAUGACAGGACAGUGUAAAAACCUGACACUUUGGUCUUCUGAAAGAGAACUAACAGAUAAUUAGAAUUACGACGAUAUUAUCAUCAACAUCUUAAAUGCAAAAUCCCGCGACUCCGACUUGUUUAGAGCAGACAGCGGCCAUACAAGGUAUUCUUGAUAUGCAGUGUGACAAGAAGCGAGGACAGUUUCAUGAGCUUAGAGAGCCCAUUUUGGCAGCGAGCAUCUUUUAGCACCCUGCCCAGAUGGUGCACGACGAUCGGAUGUGGGGGAGCCACCAGUAAAUAUAUUUCCACAUUUAAACUACGGAAGAGGAAAGGAGUGUCGAUCAAAGAGCCAGAUCUCCGAGACAGGGUCUUUAGAGACGGCGUGGGUUGAGCAGGCUUGAAUCGCCGCUGCAUGCCAACUCCUGGAGUCAUGCAUUUUCGAAAUGGAGCUUGAUGUGGAAUAUUUCAGUAAAAAAAGCUCAAUACAUUGUAUGCAUCUCCAUUUUGCCUCUAAACUCCUGCUUCCCCA